GAGUUUGAUCCUGGCUCAGGAUGAACGCUGGCGGCGUGCCUAAUACAUGCAAGUCGAGCGAACGGACGAGAAGCUUGCUUCUCUGAUGUUAGCGGCGGACGGGUGAGUAACACGUGGAUAACCUACCUAUAAGACUGGGAUAACUUCGGGAAACCGGAGCUAAUACCGGGAUAAUAUUUUGAACCGCAUGGUUCAAAAGUGAAAGACGGUCUUGCUGUCACUUAUAGAUGGAUCCGCGCUGCAUUAGCUAGUUGGUAAGGUAACGGCUUACCAAGGCAACGAUGCAUAGCCGACCUGAGAGGGUGAUCGGCCACACUGGAACUGAGACACGGUCCAGACUCCUACGGGAGGCAGCAGUAGGGAAUCUUCCGCAAUGGGCGAAAGCCUGACGGAGCAACGCCGCGUGAGUGAUGAAGGUCUUCGGAUCGUAAAACUCUGUUAUUAGGGAAGAACAUAUGUGUAAGUAACUGUGCACAUCUUGACGGUACCUAAUCAGAAAGCACGGCUAACUACGUCG
This 517-nucleotide ribosomal RNA is filed under the name uncultured microorganism. RNAcentral describes it as "bacterial SSU rRNA". It matches the Rfam family "Bacterial small subunit ribosomal RNA", at positions 9 to 508 of the family's 1533-position model. The record is from RNAcentral.